CUGCCAAGGGCAUGGCUGGGUAGCUAUGUAUGGAAUGGAUAAGCGCUGAACGCAUCUAAGCGCGAAGCCAACUUCAAGAUAAGAUUUCCCACCGCAAGGGUAAGACCCCAGAAAGACUAGCUGGUUGAUAGGUCGAAGGUGUAAGUGCAGCAAUGUAUUUAGCUUAUCGAUACUAAUAGGUCGAGGACUUGACCAAU
RNAcentral lists this ribosomal RNA (197 nucleotides) under Clostridioides difficile. RNAcentral's name for it is "partial 23S ribosomal RNA". It matches the Rfam family "Bacterial large subunit ribosomal RNA", at positions 2726 to 2925 of the family's 2925-position model. Lineage: Bacteria; Bacillati; Bacillota; Clostridia; Peptostreptococcales; Peptostreptococcaceae. The record is from RNAcentral.